Molecule: ribosomal RNA, 259 nt
Filed under: uncultured archaeon
Lineage: Archaea
Description: partial 16S ribosomal RNA
Rfam family: Archaeal small subunit ribosomal RNA
Source: RNAcentral
CAGCCGUAAACUAUGCUCGCUAGGUGUCAGGCAUGGCGCGACCGUGUCUGGUGCCGCAGGGAAGCCGUGAAGCGAGCCACCUGGGAAGUACGGCUGCAAGGCUGAACUUAAGGAAUUGGCGGGGGAGCACAACAACGGGUGGAGCCUGCGGUUUAAUUGGACUCAACGCCGGACAACUCACCGGGGACGACAGCAAUAUGUAGGCCAGGCUGAAGACCUUGCCUGAAUCGCUGAGAGGUGGUGCAUGGCGUAGACGUCU